RNAcentral lists this ribosomal RNA (1023 nucleotides) under Triticum aestivum (bread wheat). Its description in RNAcentral is "partial small subunit ribosomal RNA". The record is from RNAcentral. Lineage: Eukaryota; Viridiplantae; Streptophyta; Magnoliopsida; Poales; Poaceae.
AUGGAUUUUACAUUCCACUUGAUCGAAACUAUUACAAACAACUUUGCAGAGGAUCAGAAAGUUGGCAGCGGUGGAUCCGGAGAUGUUUACAGGGCGGUGCAUGAUGGGGAAGAUACUGCCGUGAAGAAACUGCAUCCCUUGCAAGGGCUGGAUGAUAAGCAAUCUGACAAUGAAUAUCGUAACCUUAUCAUGGUACGCCACAAGAAUAUUGUGCGGUUAAUUGGCUACUGCUAUGAAACUUGGCACAAAUACGUGGAGCACAAGGGGAAACUUGUCUUCGCUAAAGCAAUGGAGCGAGUGCUCUGCUUCGAAUAUAUGCAGGGCGGAAGCCUUGAUAAACACAUUCAAGAUGAAUCUUGCGGACUUGAGUGGCCCACAUGUUACAAGAUUAUCAAAGGGACUUGUGACGGACUAAAUCACCUUCACAGCUCCCAGGAAAAACCUAUUUUCCAUCUGGACUUAAAGCCUGGUAAUAUUUUGCUGGAUAAAAGUAUGACGCCCAAAAUUGCGGAUCUUGGUUUCUCAAGACUUGUAGGUUCAACAAAAACGCGACAAACAGAGAUGCGCGAUGGAACACUCGGGUUCAUGCCACCGGAGUACAUUGACAGUGGCUUGAUAUCAGAGAAAUUUGACGUUUUCAGUUUGGGCGUCAUAAUUAUAAAAAUGUUGUCUGGAAAUAUGAGCUACUUCCGUUGUUCCGAAAUGUCUCCCGAACAGUUUAUUGAGCUUGUAAGUGAAAACUGGACCAAAAAGUUGCAGGCAAAUCCUGGAUAUUCCUCACAGGAAAUAGACAUCCUAGGAGUGACUUCAUGUGUUGAGAUUGCAUUAAGGUGUGUGGACAAGGACAGAAACAAAAGGCCAUGUAUCAAGGACAUCGUCCAUGAACUAGAGGAACUAGAAGUUAAGAUUGGAAAAAUGUCACCACCCACAUAUCAUACUGUAAUGGAUCUUCCUUCCUAUGUCAAGAGUGUUCCUCUAACCCAAGGAAUCGAGGCACAGGAGCCAGGCAGUGUGUAUACAUGA